RNAcentral lists this ribosomal RNA (403 nucleotides) under bacterium. Its description in RNAcentral is "partial 16S ribosomal RNA". It matches the Rfam family "Bacterial small subunit ribosomal RNA", at positions 355 to 776 of the family's 1533-position model. The record is from RNAcentral.
UGGGGAAUAUUGCACAAUGGAGGGAACUCUGAUGCAGCGACGCCGCGUGAACGAAGAAGGCUUUCGAGUCGUAAAGUUCUUUUAUAUGGGAAGAUAAUGACGGUACCAUAAGAAGAAGCCCCGGCUAACUACGUGCCAGCAGCCGCGGUAAUACGUAGGGGGCUAGCGUUGUCCGGAAUCACUGGGCGUAAAGGGUUCGCAGGCGGAAAUGCAAGUCAGGUGUAAAAGGCAGUAGCUUAACUACUGUAAGCAUUUGAAACUGCAUAUCUUGAGAAGAGUAGAGGUAAGUGGAAUUUUUAGUGUAGCGGUGAAAUGCGUAGAUAUUAAAAAGAAUACCGGUGGCGAAGGCGACUUACAGGGCUCAUUCUGACGCUGAGGAACGAAAGCGUGGGUAGCAAACAGG